Molecule: long non-coding RNA, 1574 nt
Filed under: Dasypus novemcinctus (nine-banded armadillo)
Lineage: Eukaryota; Metazoa; Chordata; Mammalia; Cingulata; Dasypodidae
Description: lncRNA (ENSDNOG00000052377.1)
Source: RNAcentral
UAAUAGAACCUGCCUUUAUAGCAGGGGUUCUUAAUCUUUUUUGUUCCACGAACCCCUUUGCCAGUCAGGUAAAAUGAAUUCUACGGUAAUUUAUUUAUUGCAUACAUUCAUAAGUGAAGGAAAUGCUAGAGUGCAGUUAGAGGUAAGACAAUAUAAUGAUAAUAAGUUGAUUUUUUUUCAGCUCAAACUCACGGACCCCCUGAAAUCUUUAGGGGUCCAUGGACCCCUGCUUAAGAAUCCAAGCUUUACAGGUGAAAACUUUGGAAAAUCACUCUGGAAAAUCUCACGGGACUUUGUUUACCAUGCUUACAGUCUUCUGCCCACUCCAGUUCAUGUUGUAGUGACAUACUCACUUCAAGUUAGGCCCAUACACCUUCCACAUUUCUAUUUAGUCUUAAUGGUGUUGAUUUUUUUUGGCCUUAAAAAUAUUUAAUAUUUUUGAAUAGGUACUAUAUGAACAUAAUGAAAAUUCAAACAUUAAGAAAGUGUAUCUGUGGACUAAAGUAGACUUAUUAUUCUAGCAAUGGAAGAACUUUUAUUAAUAUCAUUGAUGUAAAGGCAGUGGCCAUCAGAGGUUCUGAAGGAUGGGAGAGGGAAGAAUAGGUAUAAUAUGGGGCAUUUUGGGGACGUUGGAAUUAUCCUGCAUGGCAUUGCAAUGACAGAUAUAGGCCAAUUUUAUGGGUUUGUCAUAACCCAUAAAAUUGUGCAGGACAAAGUGUAAACUCUAAUGUAAACUACAGUCCGCAGUUAGCAGCAAUGGCUUUAAUAUGCGUUCAUCAAAUGUAACAAAUGAACCACACUAAUGAAGGAUGUUGUUAACGUGGGAAAGUGUGGGAGGCGGAGGAAGUGGGGCAUGAGUCUCCAUCUCUACUCUCAGUUCUGCGUCCCUUUUCCCAGAAGCAACCCCUCAUGAGUUUUUUGUAUGCCCCUCAUAGAUAAUCUAUACAUGUCUAUCUAUGUGGAUAAAUAUAUGUCCCCCAUUUUUCCAUACCUGGGUACCUCAUACCACACACACCACUCUGCACCCAAAUCUACUCAGUUAAUAUAUCUUGGAUGAGAAACGGAUGUGGCUCAACCAAUUGGGCUCCUGUCUACCAUAUAGGAGGUCCAGGGUUUGAUGCCCAGGGCCUCCUGUGAGGGCAAGCUGGCCCAUGAGGUGAGCUGGCUGAUGUGGAGUGCCAGCCCAUGUGGCAAUGUGGCCCUGCACAGGAGAGCCACCCCGUGUGGGAACGCUGCCUUAUGUGGAAAAAACCACCCUGUGCAGGAGUGCCAGCUAAUGUGGAGAGCUGGCAAAGCAAGGUGAUGCAACAAGAGACACAGAGGAGAGAAAAUAAGAAGACAUAGCAGAACUGGAGAGCUGAGGUGGCACAAGAGAGUAAUUGUCUCCCACUCUGGAAGUUCCCAGGAUUGGUCCCAGGAUCAGUUCCCAGAGCCGCCUAAUGAGAAUACAGCAGACACAGAAGAACACACAGCGAAUGGCAAAUGGAAACAGAGAGCAGACAAUGAGGGGAAUGGGGGUGGGAGGAGAAAUAAAAAAUAAAUCUUAAAUAUAUAUAUAUAUAUAUAUAUCUUGG